Molecule: ribosomal RNA, 396 nt
Filed under: uncultured bacterium
Lineage: Bacteria
Description: partial 16S ribosomal RNA
Rfam family: Bacterial small subunit ribosomal RNA
Source: RNAcentral
AUACGUAGGUGACAAGCGUUAUCCGGAUUUACUGGGCGUAAAGGGCGUGUAGGCGGUCUUGCAAGUCAGAAGUGAAAUUCCUGAGCUCAACUCGGGCGCUGCUUCUGAAACUGCAGGACUUGAGUGCUGGAGGGGAUAGCGGAAUUCCUAGUGGAGCGGUAAAAUGCGUAGAUAUUCGGAGGAACACCGGUGGCGAAGGCGGCCUACUGGGCUUUAACUGACGCUGAGGCUCGAAAGUGUGGGGAGCAAACAGUAUUAGAUACCCUGGUAGUCCACACUGUAAACGAUGAUUGCUAGGUGUGGGGGGUCUGACCCCUUCCGUGCCGCAGUUAACGCAAUAAGCAAUCCACCUGGGGAGUACGGCCGCAAGGCUAAAACUCAAAUGAAUUGACGGGG